Molecule: long non-coding RNA, 253 nt
Filed under: Capsella rubella
Lineage: Eukaryota; Viridiplantae; Streptophyta; Magnoliopsida; Brassicales; Brassicaceae
Description: long non-coding RNA (CRUB_LNC001513)
Source: RNAcentral
AAAUUUAGCUUUUUGUUUGGUCUUAUAAUGAAUAUACAUUUUUUGUUUGACUUUCUUUCUUAAAUUUUGAGUGAAAUAUUUUUUUUUUUUACACACAAAAGCAACAUGAUGUAUCAUUUAACUAAUGGAGGCAUAGCUAGAACUAAUGAUACAUGAAAAAGGCUAACAUUGUUCAAUUUGAUUUUAACGAGUAGGUUCUUGCUCUCCCUGCUGCUAGUCAGCGUCGUCCAAUGCUACGGAGAAAUGGUUCUGU